GGUGUUAUACUUUAAGUUAAAAGACCUUGUUUGCAUCUAGAGAAUGAAGUAUAAAUGCUUCUAACGCCA
Molecule: transfer RNA, 69 nt
Filed under: Phasianella australis
Lineage: Eukaryota; Metazoa; Mollusca; Gastropoda; Trochida; Phasianellidae
Description: tRNA-Ala
Source: RNAcentral